GGAGGGCAAGUCUGGUGCCAGCAGCCGCGGUAAUUCCAGCUCCAAUAGCGUAUAUUAAAGUUGUUGCAGUUAAAAAGCUCGUAGUUGAACCUUGGGCCUGGCUGGCCGGUCCGCCUCACCGCGUGCACUGGUUCGGCCGGGCCUUUCCCUCUGGGGAACCCUAUGGUCUUCACUGAUCGUAGCGGGGAACCAGGACUUUUACUGUGAAAAAAUUAGAGUGUUCAAAGCAGGCCUUUGCUCGAAUACAUUAGCAUGGAAUAAUAGAAUAGGACGUGUGGUUCUAUUUUGUUGGUUUCUAGGACCGCCGUAAUGAUUAAUAGGGAUAGUCGGGGGCGUCAGUAUUCAGCUGUCAGAGGUGAAAUUCUUGGAUUUGCUGAAGACUAACUACUGCGAAAGCAUUCGCCAAGGAUGUUUUCGUUAAUCAGGGAACGAAAGUUAGGGGAUCGAAGACGAUCAGAUACCGUCGUAGUCUUAACCAUAAACUAUGCCGACUAGGGAUCGGGCGGGAUUCUAUGAUGACCCGUUCGGCACCUUACGGGAAAC
RNAcentral lists this ribosomal RNA (543 nucleotides) under uncultured Seiridium. RNAcentral describes it as "SSU rRNA". It matches the Rfam family "Eukaryotic small subunit ribosomal RNA", at positions 550 to 1098 of the family's 1831-position model. The record is from RNAcentral. Lineage: Eukaryota; Fungi; Ascomycota; Sordariomycetes; Amphisphaeriales; Amphisphaeriaceae.